UAGUCCACGCUGUAACCGAUGUCUACUUGGAGGUUGUUGUCUUGAAUGAUGGCUUUCGGAGCUAACGCGUUAAGUAGACCGCCUGGGGAGUACGGCCGCAAGGUUAAAACUCAAAUGAAUUGACGGGGGCCCGCACAAGCGGUGGAGCAUGUGGUUUAAUUCGAUGCAACGCGAAGAACCUUACCUACUCUUGACAUCUAGAGAAGCUUGCAGAGAUGCGAGUGUGCCUUCGGGAACUCUAAGACAGGUGCUGCAUGGCUGUCGUCAGCUCGUGUUGUGAAAUGUUGGGUUAAGUCCCGCAACGAGCGCAACCCUUAUCCUUGUUUGCCAGCACGUAAUGGUGGGAACUCCAGGGAGACUGCCGGUGAUAAACCGGAGGAAGGUGGGGACGACGUCAAGUCAUCAUGGCCCUUACGAGUAGGGCUACACACGUGCUACAAUGCCCAGUACAAUGAGAACCGAUCCCGCGAGGAGGAGGAAAUCUACAAAGCUGGGCUCAGUUCGGAGUUGG
RNAcentral lists this ribosomal RNA (511 nucleotides) under uncultured bacterium. RNAcentral's name for it is "bacterial SSU rRNA". It matches the Rfam family "Bacterial small subunit ribosomal RNA", at positions 791 to 1302 of the family's 1533-position model. The record is from RNAcentral.